This 7645-nucleotide long non-coding RNA is filed under the name Coffea arabica (coffee). RNAcentral describes it as "long non-coding RNA (CARA_LNC001504)". Lineage: Eukaryota; Viridiplantae; Streptophyta; Magnoliopsida; Gentianales; Rubiaceae. The record is from RNAcentral.
UAAUAUAUAAGGGUAAAAGCUAUUUUCCGUCAAUCUAGAUAAGAGGCUAAGACAAGCUGGUUCAUGUUCAAGAAUUACAAGGAACUAUUAAGGGAGGAUAAAAAUAGUGGUUAGUGACCUCCCACGUUCAAUAAAGAUUCCAUGAUAUAACAGCUAUUAAGAUGAAACUCACUAAAGCUUAGAUUGUGCAUUAAUACAUUAUCAUAGAUCUUAUCAAAUUGUCUUUACUACCAUAAAGCUGACUGAACUCAGCUAACAAAACAAUGUGAACAAUCAAGUUUAGACCUCCUUAUAUAGGUAAUUGAUUAACUUGUACAUUCCAUUCACUGUCUGGACUCAUUAUACAGCACAAAAACUGAAAGAAUUAGACAAACACAGAAAGGCAUGCACAUGCAGAAAGUGAUACAAGAAUACCUUCUCUACAUGAUCAAAUACUAUCACAUCAUCAUACAGCCCCAGAUGAAUGUCAGCAAGGCUCCGAUCAUCGCGUGGCGCCUGAGAGAAUGGCAGCUUCUUCUUCUCAAGGUACCUAACAGUGUCGUAAGAAAAAUAACCAACCCAUCCACCUGCGCAUGAUGCCCAAAGAACUCGUAAUUAAGUAUACAAGAAAAGUUGUAAACCUAGCAAUACAGUCUCCACUUUUAUUUCUGUUCACCUCUCAAGUAAGAGCCUACCAUACAAUUUUUCACAGCAAAUUCGUUUCAAACAUUGACUUUAUGUCUAAAAUGCAGUAACUCUAUCAAAAGACAUGUCAGGCACAAAAGAAAGCACAUCCAAAACAGGAAUGAAUAGAAAAAAUAGCUACUUCCGAACUAAAUUCUUCUACUCCCAGUAAUGGAAGGUAGUUGGGAAAGUAAGAGAAACAUAAUAAUACCAAAAAGUGUGUGAUUCUUCGAAAUAUAUGGAUGUCCAUGAUUAUCGUCUUUUAAAGAGGGCAUAUUUAGAUCUCCAAACAACAAGAAUUCCCUGUAUUAAAUAAGAAUUUUGACGUCUAACAUUCCGAUGCCUCCACCAGUUCAGUCAAGAAGAGUGCCACUGAUGGAGAAGAAACAGCAAGUUUAUGGGACACACUCAAAUUACAUCUCCUACUUUCUACAUUUGAAGUCACUAGAUACUAAUUUCAGUAACAGAGAGAACCCAUAAAACCUCUCCGUUACAACGGCCAAAUUCCUGUCUAUCACAAAACAAUCUUCAUCCAUGGCUACAGGCUGUUGGAACACAAUUCUGGGAAGGAAAAGCCCAAAAGUUUAUGUCCAUCACAAAUCUUACCCUAACUCCUUCACGGAAUCCUCAUAAUCUGAUGUGCAAAAACAUUACUUACUGUUCUUACAGAAUAAACAGGAAGUUACAGGAUACAACCUCAAAAAAGGAAAAGUAUUUCACGAGUUUACUCGAUUAUGAAACUUCACGUUUUUAUUCGAACUUCAGAAAAGUUUUUUUUUUUUUUUUUGAAUGAUGCACAAUUAAAUUUUGUUUUAAAAGAAAUGGAAAACCUGAGCCGACUUGAAAACAAAAGAAUAGACAGAUAAAUAAGAAUAUUCUAGUUAACGAGUCCAACUAGAAAGGAAAAACGAAAUUACUGGUUCGAGUAAUGUUAAAGUCAUACCACAAAAUGUAUCAGGAAGUUCACUAAUCAACUGAGGCUUCCAACUUUCAGAAAUUUCUCUUGGAAUCGUCAUCGGGUCCUCCACAACAAUCUCCUUCAACUUCCCUUUGUAGUGAUCCAAGAUGGUGACAUCAUUUUCUUUUGCCACGAUUUCCACCGCUGGCUGAGCACCGACCACGCUGUACCGACCCUAACAAUUCCCAUUUUCAACACCAGUUAAACCAAAAAUCUACAAACAUCAUAAAACACGUGCUAUAAUGGAAAAACCAUAUUCUGAAGGGGAACAUAGAGGCUUACAACAUGGGAAGUUCGGAAACCAGGUUCUACGGACUCGAAAAGAAAGCUAGGAGCCUCCCGGUCGUCUUCUUUAACUAAGCAGCGGUAUGCAAGCACGGGAGUCAGAUGAUCCGAGAAAAUACAUUGGUAGAGCGGAAUGACAUUUCCAUGUCUGGAAGCUUCCAUAAAUCUUUUUUUAUCCGUCACUGAAUAAAUUGAGAACACAAAAGAAUAAAUAAAAAAGAUCCACGAUUGAAACAACCAUGUAAUUAAAGCAUAGUUGAAAAAUGAAGGGACAUUUUAGGGAUAACGAUACUAUUUAUGGCAGCGUUUUCACCUGAACGAGUGAAACAAAAAUCAUGAAGUCCAGCACAGAUUAUACAGAAACAAUUUGAGCAUUAACCAAUGAAUGAGCGUACCUGGAGAUGAAGACUGGAGAGAGCAACAUUGGAGUGAAGGAAGGGAGCGACGAAGAGAGAGACGUGAGCUAAAGCUGUGACUAGGGGAGAAUUCGAAGGAAACAACCGGACACAAGCGGCGGUUCACCGGAGAUAACCGGUAAUUGGCAGGAGAAAGUCGAUUGGGAGCAUGUAGGGCUUGCAUUAUUAGUUUUUUUCUCUCUAAUUAUAACGGCCUGGUGCAUUCAACCUUCCGAGGGACUCAGAAGAAGGAACGGAAGCCAAUGCUGAAAAUGUGAAAUGCAGCUUAUUACACUUCACCGUCUGCGAAUGCUGCUCGGAGCAAAUAAGGACAGGAAGGACAGCGGUGAGUGCACCAGACUCCAGAGGAGAUUUUGGGGGAUAGUACAAAUAAGAGGAAGAGAGUUUAGGAAUCUGGUUGAGAGUUGAGGGUUGAGACGGUGCGUCUCGUCUCGAAGUUGUGUCGAAUUCUUUUACAGCGUCAGCGAGCACGUACUCCUAAUAUGCACCGCUUCCAAGCCAUUAGCCACUCUAUUUAUAGUCACACGCCUCUGCCCAUUUACUCCAGAAGGCCUGUUUAACUGGGGCGAAACUUUCACACCAAAAAUGUGAAGAAUUAAUUUUUAGGGUUAAUUACAAUUUGCUUCCUUAAACUUGACCCUUUAUAACAUUUUGCCCCCAUAAACUUUAAAUAUAUAUACUUUGCCCCAUUCAUUGACUAGUCAAAUAUUAAUGAUGAAUUCUCCCCCCAAAAUUUUAACAAAAUGGCAUUAAUGCCCUUACAUAAUAGUUCUACAAUAAUGCUAUACUUUUAAUCAAAAUAUAAAACAUUUUGUUAGAAAAAACACAAAGUCAUAUGAUUUAAAAAAUUUAGAAAUAAAAGAUGGUAUAAUACCAAAGAAUUGAAAAUUUUUUUAUGGAGAAAAAAAGAAUUUAAAAAAUCCUAAAACAUCAGCACAAGUUUUCCAUUACUUAUCUUUAUUCCUUUAAAUUGUAAACAGAUUAGUUUUGAUAAUUUUCAUUUACUUUGCAGCUGUCACAAGAUUUUCACGAGUCAAUAAAAUGUUAUUUGGUAAUUUUAUAUCACAUUCAUACGUUGCUUUGUAUUUUAUUUGCAUUCUACAUUCUACAUUUUUAAAAAAAAAAUUAAGUUCUCUAAUACAUUUUUAUUUUUAAUUAUGUUUUUUUUCUCAUAUAAAACACAUAAAAAAGUGCUACAAUAAAAAAAAUAAGCAAAUAAUUUCAUUCCAAAUGCACUAAUUAAUUUUAUUUCAUUUAAAAUAAGUAUUGCUACCGACAUUGAGAUAAAUACAUUGAGUUGGUUAAAUUCUUUUUUGCAAAUUAUCUAAUUCAUUUUAAGGCUAAAAGAUCGAAAUGCCUAAUGUAAUUGUAUUUAGAUGCAUUUAGCAAUUAUAAAAAAAAAAGGUGUUUAUUAUGUUAUGAGUGUUUAAGAAUUAGCCAAGGAUGUUUUUGUCAUGAAAAAUAUAACUUCAUCUUAACUCCGUCAAAAAGUUGAUUAUAAAGGGUAAAGUAUAUAUAUUUGGAAUUAGAGGGGCAAAGUGUUACAAAUACCCAAGUUCAAGGGAGCAAAAUGUAAUUAACCCUAAUUUUUAUACAUUCAUUGUGUAUAGACUUUUUAAUUAGGGCACAACUUCACGCGAAAAAUAUAAAGAAUUGAUCUUUUAUAUAAUGAUAAUGUAUAUACUUUCAGCAUGAUAUAUUACACAUGAUCUAGAUUUGAAUUUAAAAUCCAAUCCUAUAUAUAGAUUACUCAAAUGUAUGCCUUCUUUUAGCACAACCAUGACGACUUGUAAUCCAUAUACAAAACUUGAUUUAACAACCGUGGAGACAGUUUUCUCUAGACAAAACCAUGAAACGAACAACUAUUAGUAUAAUUUAGGUAAAUGAACUAGUCAUUAAGCUAUAAACCAUCAAUUUAUGUUAAGUUUUAUAUGCCUACUUAUCUUACGAUGUCGUCAUUAGGUAACUGUAUCCUUCCUUCAUCAAAUGAUAAUUGAUCAUUUUUAUGAAGGCAUUCCAGAAAUGUUAACAGAACUAAUUUACAGAUUUUUUACCUAAUAUGGGUCCAAAAAUGAUAAACAAACAAAUGAUGUUUAGUUGAGUUUUAUAUGCCGACUUAUUUUUCGAUGCCAUCAUUAGGUAACUACCUUUCCUUCAUCAAAUAAUAAUUGAUCAUGUAUUGGAAGGUUUUCCAGAAAUGUCAACAAAAUGUAAUUUAUAAAUUUUUUCCCUAAGAUGGGACCAAAACAGAUAAACAAAAAAUAAAACAAAAUGGAGAAAUUUUAUUACAAUCUAAAUCAAUUAUUAGUUUGGCAUAAUUUUAUUUGAAGCAUUUUCAUUGGUUAAAAACUAGUAACUACUAGGUUUGAUUGUAAUAAAGAUUUUUUUCAAACAAAAACGUAGGUUUGACACGCAAAGAAUACCAGUUAUUUUUACGAAAUUAAUGAAAUGAUUAGUAUGAAUAUCCAUUCGUCUCCCCAAAAGAUACAUUGAAACGUUCAUCUUUAAAGGUUCAUUGGAAUAGCAUCUUCUUAUAAGUUUGUUUGUUGGUUCAUUAUGGAGCUAAAUUCAUGUAUUUGAAAUAUAUAGUAAAUUCAUGCACUUAUAUAUUCAUGCUAGUACAUAUACCUUUGAUCUUGUAUCAUUUAUAAAUAGAGGUAUAUAAGACUCAUUUCUAAUAUUUGAAUAAAAAAACAUUCUCACUAUUUCCUUUUCUCCGUUCUACAAUCUUCAUUUUCUACUUGUAAGGAAUUUAUUUUAUUAAUUUCACAAUAAUUUAUUUAAUAUUAAUGAAUUCUCAAAAUUCAUACGUCUCGUCUCUCAACCAACACUAAACGUCUAAAAAUACAUUGGGCACAAAGUAAGGAUAUAGUACUAACUUUUGGUGCUCCACUAACUGUACCAACAGGAAGUGCAGCACGCAGUGCAUCCCAGCAAGUAAGAUGAUCAAGCAACUCCCCUGUGACCUGUAAUAAUGUCCCAAUGGUUUUAAACAAAAUGGUUACUCAAAUAAAGCCUUCUUCAACUCUCAUGAGUUUAUGAAGGUGUUAUGAGGCCAAGACAUUUAAAGCUACUGAAAUGAAACAACUUCUACCCGCAGGAAAACCGGCAACUCUCUAGUAUGAAAACCAAACUAUAUUGUCCAUACUAUGUAAUUACUGCAACAGGGAUGAACAAUUUUAUUUGAAAAACUGAUAGUCAACAAGGCUUUAUGAUGAUAUUCUCACCGUGGAGCUUAUGUGCAUCACAUGGGAGUACCGCUCAACAGUCAUAAGUUUUUCAACAUUUACAGAACCUGGCUUCGAGACCUACAUUUGACAAAUCUUAUAAUGUUACUUAUGACAGUGUAGAGAAAGCAUAGAAAAAUAUGGAAGAUCCAACAUACGUUUUCUGAAAAGUCUGCAAUAGAUACCAUAUGUUUAGGGCAGGGAGCAGAUCAUAUUUACAAACUCCCAAAUAUAAACAUUAAUAACAAAAAUGCAAGAAAAUUUUUUACAAGAGAGUAAAGUAAGUCAGUAAAACCUUUCCCACAUCAUUACGGCCCAAAUCGACCAGCAUUAUAUGUUCUGCACAUUGCUUUUUAUCUUUUAAAAGCUGCAGCUCCUGCAUCUCAUCUUCAUGAGGUGUCUUCCCUCUUCUUGUAGUUCCAGCCAAUGGUCGAUUAACAACCCUUUUCUGUCAAUAACAUUGAUACAUCCACAUUAAUUCUGUAUCAAGAGCUGUAUACUCAAGGCCAAAGUUUAAUGAUUUUCAGAAUUUAAUCUGUAAAUAACCUUCUUGACACGAGUAAGAAUUUCUGGGCUUGAAGCAACAUGAAUACUUCCUCUAGCCUGAUCAAAUAAUGAAGACACCAUAGUUGGAAAACUUACUUCAGACAAUUAAGAGAAUGGAUGUUCUUUGUAUUAAUAGAAGUACUAACCUGCAAGUAAGCCAUGUAGGGACUUGGAUUUAUUACUCUCAGUGCUCUGUAGACUUCAAAUGGAUCAGCAAAUGUUCUCUUCUCAAAGCGCUGACUUAAAACAAUCUGAAAAAUAUCUCCAGCAAGGAUAUGCUCCUUUGCCUGUAUGACAGCCUUCUUGUACUCUUCUCUUGUCAUGUUACUCUUGUUCAGAGAGAAUCCAAAAUUGUUAGUCCACAAUUCAACAGAUCCUGCUGAUAGCCUUGGACUGAAAAUGGAAAUUUAAUAUGUUAUGAUACAGAAGAUGUAAAAUCAAAAUUGAACCAAGAAAAUGUUAUGAUAUAGAAGAUUCAAACAGUAACUUACGGAUCAAUAUUUUGUACUUUUGACAUUAGUCUUUCCAAGCGUUUCAUACCACUAGUGUAAGCCUUCUCUUUUGAUGGAUACUGAUCUAACUGCACCCAGUGGAUAACAUAUGCUUUCUGCAUGAACAAGAAGGAUUCUUAAUAAUCACUCAGGAAGAAUUUCCGAAACAAAUGCAAUUGGGUGAGCCCUGAGAGAGAUCACGGUGACCAUAACUAAUAUAUAAGGGUAAAAGCUAUUUUCCGUCAAUCUAGAUAAGAGGCUAAGACAAGCUGGUUCAUGUUCAAGAACUAUUAAGGGAGGAUAAAAAUAGUGGUUAGUGACCUCCCACGUUCAAUAAAGAUUCCAUGAUAUAACAGCUAUUAAGAUGAAACUCACUAAAGCUUAGAUUGUGCAUUAAUACAUUAGCAUAGAUCUUAUCAAAUUGUCUUUACUACCAUAAAGCUGGCUGAACUCAGCUAACAAAACAAUGUGAACAAUCAAGUUUAGACCUCCUUAUAGGUAAUUGAUUAACUUGUACAUUCCAUUCACUGUCUGGACUCAUUAUACAACACAAAAACUGAAAGAAUUAGACAAACACAGAAAGGCAUGCACAUGCAGAAAGUGACACAAGAAUACCUUCUCUACAUGAUCAAAUACUAUCACAUCAUCAUACAGCCCCAGAUGAAUGUCAGCAAGGCUCCUAUCAUCGCGUGGCGCCUGAGAGAAUGGCAGCUUCUUCUUCUCAAGGUACCUAACAGUGUCAUAAGAAAAAUAACCAACCCAUCCACCUGCACAUGAUGCCCAAAGAACUCGUAAUUAAGUAUACAAGAAAAGUUGUAAACCUAGCAAUACAGUCUCCACUUUUAUUUCUGUUCACCUCUCAAGUAAGAGCCUACUGUACAAUUUUUCACAGAAAAUUCGUUUCAAACAUUGACUUUAUGUCUAAAAUGCAGUAACUCUAUCAAAAGACAUGUCAGGCACAAAAGAAAGCACAUCCAAAACAGGAAUGAAUAGAAAAAAUAGCUACUUCCGAACUAAAUUCAUCUACUCCCAGUAAUGGAAGGUAGUUGGGAAAGUAAG